CUUUCUGAUUAUGGAUCUUAAGAAAUUUCCCUGAGAGGGCUCCGCCCUGUACCCUAUACUUGGGGAAGGAAUGCUGAUGUCACAAAGCUUCCAUAAAAAUCCAAAAGGACUGGGUUCAGAGGGCUUUUGGAGAGCUGGACAUGUGGAGGCCGACAGGAAGGUGAAGAAGUCAUCUGCGUGCUGUGAGGGUGGCGCACCCCAACUCCAUGGGGACAGAAGGUCCUGCAUUUAGGACCCUUCCAGACCUCACACCUAUGUAUCUCUUCAUCUGGCUGAUUACUUAUAUCCUUUCAAAGACGCUUCUUAGUAAACUGGUUACACUGAAAAGGACGAGGGAUCUCUGAGAAUCCUUUCUCCCAGGCAUUACUUCUAAGUGGUGGACAUGCUGUCCUAGUGCCUCCCUCACAUGGCCAGCGGAGAAGGGCCUUGCCCUACCUCUCAGACUGCAGCCCUGAGCCACUCCUUGGAGGUGAGGAGCACCAUUCACCUGAGCAGCUCCCCGCCCUGGUGUCUGAGAAAUAAAUCUGCCUUCAGUCAUACGGUUCUACCAAUCUGAGCACACGACCACCUGAUAGGGUACUGAGGAUGGCUUCUGACCUGGAGGCAUCAAGGACCUGAAGGCAGUAACCAUUUCAGAGGACAGCCACAUCCCUCAAAUUACAAACAUCUAAAAUGUCCAUUAACUGUUGAGUGGAUAUAUAAAUUCUGAUGUUUUAUAAAAUGGCAUACCCUACAUCAAUGAAGAUGAAUGAAUUACUUCUGCAUAAAACAAUAUACAUGCAUCUAACCAAUAUGACACUGAGUGAAAAAAGACAUCCAUAGAAGAGCACAGCUCACCAUUCAGGAGCAUCACCCUGGUCCAAGCCACCUUCAGCUCUCACCUAGACUAACACAGUUCUUCCUGUCUCCAUGAGCCUCCUCUCCAGUUGCUGUAUUGCAAAUAACAAUCAAAACAGCAUUUAAAAGCAAAACAACAACAGCAAACAAAUGGUAAGCAAACAAUCAACCUAAUCAUUCCCUCUCUUAUUUCCAAGUGGC
RNAcentral lists this long non-coding RNA (1038 nucleotides) under Homo sapiens (human). Its description in RNAcentral is "HSALNT0084243". The record is from RNAcentral. Lineage: Eukaryota; Metazoa; Chordata; Mammalia; Primates; Hominidae.